CUGCAGGAUCUGCGAGGCCCAUUUCAAGCCCCUCCAUCUCCAGGCUCCUCUCGGGCUCUUUCGUAAAUCAAGCUGGGGAUAAAACAGCAUUCCAGGAAGGCGGCGGGCUGACCCUGGCUUUCUGUGGGAAAAGCAGCAAAUGCGCGGUGUCAGCGCCGAAUAAAGCUUGGCGACAUGGCAGGCUAAUUCUCUUUAUAGCUCCGGGGCUGGCCUUUCCCACAGAGGACGUGGUGCCCAGGCUGGCUGGCAGGUCCCGGGGGCCGCAUCCUGCCCGUGGCAGGAGCAGCACCAGCGGCGGGUGGCUCGGGUGUCCCCCGGAGCAAGGCGACCGCGGCGCACGGGCAACGCGCAAGAGCAAGGGCAUGGUGCAGCCUGGGUCAUGCAAAGCUUCCUCGUCUUCGUUUUGGAUCUGCUCCACCAUCGUCCUGCGUGAAAGUGCAUUUUCUGCCACCCUGCUGAGAGUCGUCUCCCUUCCAGGAGCCCACGAAAUCUCUACGCAGCCCCCAGCCCUCUCCUCUGCCCGUCCCUCGGAGCUUCCCUGCGCUCGGGGGCUGUCGGCGAUGCUGCUCCUGGUGCUCAUCUGCUGGGGGGCUGCUAAUGCAGGGGGGUGGGCUUUUCUCCUCCCCAGCAAGUGAGCAAAAUGCAUUUCUUUAGGAAUCGAUGUCCGCUACAUCCUUGAGGCCACUUUAUUCGUAUGCACCCUUUCAAAGCACCUUGCAGGGUAUUUGCCUGAGUCCCUGUCCUGUUGUUUUUUAGAAGCAACCCAAGCUCUCCCAAACCCGUCUCCCAGCCCGCAGGCAGAUCCACCCACCUGUGAUUCCCACAUCCCUCCUGCAGCCUUUUAAAAGACACAUUGGCCACCUGCGGGGUUGGUCACAGUGAUGGACCCCCUCCCCAGAACCAGCCCUUUGUCCAUUUUUUGUGUCCCCAAAUACUUCCUGGGUGACUUUCUGCUGUGGCCUGAUCCUCCCUAAACAAUCCCACUGAACCUUGGUCACCUGCAAGGAACAAACUUCCCUGGUUCUGAUCGGUCGUGAAGGUUUUCC
RNAcentral lists this long non-coding RNA (1046 nucleotides) under Anser brachyrhynchus (Pink-footed goose). Its description in RNAcentral is "lncRNA (ENSABRG00000021440.1)". Lineage: Eukaryota; Metazoa; Chordata; Aves; Anseriformes; Anatidae. The record is from RNAcentral.